CACACGGGGCUGUUUGUUUGGGUCCGAGGGCGUGUGAGCGUGGGAUGGGGUGAUGCCGGGGGUCCCGGCCUGCGAGCCAGAGGCCCGAAGCGGAGAGCGGCGGGCGGCGGGGCGGCGGGAAUUAGCGCGCCAGCCCGCGGCCAGGGAUCCCUUCUGGCGAGAGUUCGAGGCGGGAUUAUCACGUUCAAAAGCAGGUCAGGCUGCCGGGAUGGAGCAAAGCCAUUGGACUCCGUGGGACUGGAGUCUGUGGGUGCAGAGUGGCUGAUUUGAACUGAGGUCUGAGCAGAGACUCUGUAGGUCCGUGUGUGGAAGCCCCAACCUCAUCUCAUCUCAGCUCCAUGGAGUCUAAGCGGGAGGCUGGGCUUCUCUUCUCCUCCAGGCGCCUUCGGACCAGUGCCAGCCUGCCCUCCAGCUCCUGCAGCGGCCUCGUGCUGCCCUCUGCUGGUCGCGAUCUUACAGCGACCACCCGGCUGGGCCCAGCGCCGACCUCCGGCUGCAUGCGCCCUGUGUUCCCAGUGAAGGUCUUCUAUAGGUUCCGGAGGCCUCUCCUCUCCGCCCAGGGUCAAGGUAGGGGCUGGGUGGGGCUGGUGGGAUAUCUCCAGCCCAG
This is a long non-coding RNA of Myotis myotis, 607 nucleotides long. RefSeq lists it as uncharacterized. The transcript is spliced from 3 exons. The record is from RefSeq and is a predicted model, not a curated record. Lineage: Eukaryota; Metazoa; Chordata; Mammalia; Chiroptera; Vespertilionidae.